RNAcentral lists this ribosomal RNA (253 nucleotides) under uncultured bacterium. RNAcentral's name for it is "partial 16S ribosomal RNA". It matches the Rfam family "Bacterial small subunit ribosomal RNA", at positions 524 to 776 of the family's 1533-position model. The record is from RNAcentral.
UACAGAGGGUGCAAGCGUUGUUCGGAAUUAUUGGGCGUAAAGCGCGCGCAGGCGGUCCUUUAAGUCUGAUGUGAAAGCCCACGGCUCAACCGUGGAGGGUCAUUGGAAACUGGGGGACUUGAGUGCAGGAGAGAAGAGUGGAAUUCCUGGUGUAGCGGUGAAAUGCGCAGAUAUCAGGAAGAACACCCGUGGCUAAGGCGGCUCUCUAGUACGGUACUGACGCUGAGACGCGAAAGCGUGGGGAGCGAACAGG